AAACAUCUCAGUACCCGCAGGAAGAGAAAACAACCGUGAUUCCGGGAGUAGUGGCGAGCGAAACCGGAUGAGGCCAAACCGUAUGCGUGUGAGACCCGGCAGGGGUUGCGCAUUCGGGGUUGUGGGACCUCUCUUUCAUGGUCUGCCGGCCAUGAGACGAGUCAGAAACCGUUGAUGUAGGCGAAGGACAUGCGAAAGGUCCGGCGUAGAGGGUAAGACCCCCGUAGUCGAAACGUCAGCGGCUCGUUUGAGAGA
Molecule: ribosomal RNA, 255 nt
Filed under: Streptomyces althioticus subsp. attaecolombicae
Lineage: Bacteria; Bacillati; Actinomycetota; Actinomycetes; Kitasatosporales; Streptomycetaceae
Description: Streptomyces sp. DSM 41972 partial 23S ribosomal RNA
Rfam family: Bacterial large subunit ribosomal RNA
Source: RNAcentral